GACGAACGCUGGCGGCGUGCUUAACACAUGCAAGUCGAACGGAAAGGCCCUGCUUUUGUGGGGUGCUCGAGUGGCGAACGGGUGAGUAACACGUGAGUAACCUGCCCUUGACUUUGGGAUAACUUCAGGAAACUGGGGCUAAUACCGGAUAGGAGCUCCUGCUGCAUGGUGGGGGUUGGAAAGUUUCGGCGGUUGGGGAUGGACUCGCGGCUUAUCAGCUUGUUGGUGGGGUAGUGGCUUACCAAGGCUUUGACGGGUAGCCGGCCUGAGAGGGUGACCGGCCACAUUGGGACUGAGAUACGGCCCAGACUCCUACGGGAGGCAGCAGUGGGGAAUAUUGCACAAUGGGCGGAAGCCUGAUGCAGCAACGCCGCGUGCGGGAUGACGGCCUUCGGGUUGUAAACCGCUUUCGCCUGUGACGAAGCGUGAGUGGCGGUAAUGGGUAAAGAAGCACCGGCUAGCUACGUG
This 468-nucleotide ribosomal RNA is filed under the name uncultured bacterium. RNAcentral's name for it is "partial 16S ribosomal RNA". It matches the Rfam family "Bacterial small subunit ribosomal RNA", at positions 28 to 507 of the family's 1533-position model. The record is from RNAcentral.